This 1761-nucleotide ribosomal RNA is filed under the name Triticum aestivum (bread wheat). RNAcentral describes it as "partial small subunit ribosomal RNA". The record is from RNAcentral. Lineage: Eukaryota; Viridiplantae; Streptophyta; Magnoliopsida; Poales; Poaceae.
AUGGUUAAUGUCGACCUCAUCCCGAAACACCUGAACUCCGAAAUACAGGAGGAUAUGGAUUCUUUCUCAACUUUUCUGAAUCCGCAGCUAGUUCGAUUGCAGAAACAAUUCAUGCAAAGUUCUAAGGAGAAAUCUAAGGUCUCUGAUGAGGGAGGUAUUUCACAAGUAGUUAAUAAAGAAUUAUCACCGAAGGAAAUUCAUAAGCAGAUUCAGCGACUUCAGCAAGGUGAUACAUCAAAAUAUUCAGAGAUGCAUUUUCAACAGAAGCAAUUUCAGAAGAGUGUUGCUCCUUCCAUGGUUUCUCAGUCUGCAGACCAUGGUCCAAGCGGUGAUGCAAUGGUGUCAGCCGGAGUUAUUUUGCCUCCACCUACUGCAGUUAAUGAUGAUGUGCAAACUAAGCAGUGCAAUAACGCGGGAGGCAAUACAGUUCAAUUGCUCACAUCCUCAGCCCAGCAGUCUGCUUCUCUGCCUGUCCCGGCUCAGCUGGGAGAUGCAAAUCAGUCUGGCCCAUUAACUCAGUCUCUUUUAGAUCUCCCAUACACACCUCAUGUACAAGUGAACAUUCUUAAGCAAUGUGAUGGCCCAGAUUUGCGUCAGCAGGAUAUUCAACCUAGUCAGAUGCAUAAGGGACAGUCUACUUCUUUUGCUCAGUCCCCUUCUAUUAUCCCUUCGUCUUCAAUCCUAGAUGCCUUCCGCCAGAAUGCACCUGCAAAUCCUAUUUCUCUCGCAUAUUUGCCCAGUCUACCCGCUCACUCUACUGCUCACAUCAUUCAGACUUCUACUGCUACUGCAAUCUCAGCAGCUAUGGAGGACAAAAUUCUUAGUGAGAAAGAGUCUUUUAUUCCUCUUUCCCCCCAUAAGUCUCCUCCAUCAGAUUCCCAUCGCCUUCCGCCGGCCUCUCCUAGAUUCAGUCCCAAAAGGCCGUCGGAAUCGCUCUCUGGUUUGGCUCUCCCACCGCCAAAGCGGCUCGGGGUGCCUGGUGAUGGAGAAGGUGCUGAAGCGCAGAAGGGUUUCGCGGCUGAUGCGGGUCCGAUCGGAGUCGUGUCUCGUCCCAAGAGGCAGACUCAUGCUGGAUUGGGCAUUCUCGGAGCUCCGCCCGCCGAUGUUCUUGUCCACGGCCCAGCAGCUCAAGCUGGUACUUUGGGAGCCGCCACAGUUGCCCUUGCUACACCCAAACAUACAGCAGAUAAGGGAGCCAGCCGUCGAUUUGGACCUAGCAAGUGGGAUGUUCCUCCAUCUGGGAGGCCUACGGGUAUGCGUCCCCAUUUCAGUGGGAUUUCUCGCCAUCGUAUUAGUCAUUCCACUUGGCACCGUUCUGAUGGCACCUCUCAAAUGGGUUACAACGCUGCUAUGUGCGGAAGCAGCAGUAAGGUUAUGACAAGCAUGAAUCUCGGGACCACUAUUAGUCAGAGCGGAAUGGUUGAGCAACGGAGCAAUGAGGCAGCUGCUUGCUAUGACCCAUGGCCAAUUCGGACUCCUACAACAUCUAUUUCUGCAGAUUCAGACAAUUCCCGUCAAGGGGCUUUCUCUCCUCCUCAAGUGGAUCACUUCAACAACAGGGGUGACUUGUCUGGAACCGGAGCUCAAACCAUGAUGGAAGCUCAGGAUAACCUUAGUUCCUCUCGUCAUGGCGACAUAGUGGAUCUCAGGGGCAGUCAAACCGUGGAUGAAGUGGACUUUCGUGGUCAACAGAUUGCAGACUUGGCUCACUCCUCUUCUUGGGCAGCGCCGCAUGGCCCUAACGCGCCUCGGGCGCCAUGA